Molecule: long non-coding RNA, 218 nt
Filed under: Lathyrus oleraceus (garden pea)
Lineage: Eukaryota; Viridiplantae; Streptophyta; Magnoliopsida; Fabales; Fabaceae
Description: Pisum sativum (pea) long non-coding RNA (PSAT_LNC027708)
Source: RNAcentral
AAACAAAAACACAAACCUCCUCUCUCAUUCCCUCAUCUCACAUCUCAGUUCAUCAACAACAUAAAAACCUCUCAAUAACAUCAUAAAAAUAAUCACAAUAUAACUACCACCGCUUUAUCUUUUCCGACGAUAACUGAACACCAGCAUUUGCUUCACACAGUCGUGCAACAACAACAUUCGACGACAACACCAUCAUAUGUUCUGUCCACUGUUGUUAU